This 597-nucleotide ribosomal RNA is filed under the name Staphylococcus pseudintermedius. Its description in RNAcentral is "bacterial LSU rRNA". It matches the Rfam family "Bacterial large subunit ribosomal RNA", at positions 1 to 593 of the family's 2925-position model. The record is from RNAcentral. Lineage: Bacteria; Bacillati; Bacillota; Bacilli; Caryophanales; Staphylococcaceae.
AGAUUAAGUUAUUAAGGGCGCACGGUGGAUGCCUUGGCACUAGAAGCCGAUGAAGGACGUUACUAACGACGAUAUGCUUUGGGGAGCUGUAAGUAAGCUUUGAUCCAGAGAUUUCCGAAUGGGGAAACCCAGCACGAGUUAUGUCGUGUUAUCUGCAUGUGAAUACAUAGCAUGCAAGAAGGCAGACCCGGAGAACUGAAACAUCUUAGUACCCGGAGGAAGAGAAAGAAAAAUCGAUUCCCUGAGUAGCGGCGAGCGAAACGGGAAGAGCCCAAACCAAUAAGCUUGCUUAUUGGGGUUGUAGGACACUCUGUACGGAGUUACAAAAGAAUUGGUUAGACGAAUAACCUGGAAAGGUUAAUCAGAGAAGGUAAUAAUCCUGUAGUCGAAAACGAAUUCUCUCUUGAGUGGAUCCUGAGUACGACGGAGCACGUGAAAUUCCGUCGGAAUCUGGGAGGACCAUCUCCUAAGGCUAAAUACUCUCUAGUGACCGAUAGUGAACCAGUACCGUGAGGGAAAGGUGAAAAGUACCCCGGAAGGGGAGUGAAAGAGAACUUGAAACCGUGUGCUUACAAGUAGUCAGAGCCCGUUAAUGGG